This 426-nucleotide ribosomal RNA is filed under the name Boana multifasciata group sp. ABGD cluster 71. RNAcentral's name for it is "partial large subunit ribosomal RNA". It matches the Rfam family "Bacterial large subunit ribosomal RNA", at positions 1822 to 2447 of the family's 2925-position model. RNAcentral also lists the same sequence under 1 other name. Lineage: Eukaryota; Metazoa; Chordata; Amphibia; Anura; Hylidae. The record is from RNAcentral.
UUUGAUAUAAAUAUAAAAGGUCCAGCCUGCCCAGUGACCUAGUUCAACGGCCGCGGUAUCCUAACCGUGCGAAGGUAGCGUAAUCACUUGUUCUUUAAAUGAGGACUAGUAUGAAUGGCACCACGAGGGUUAAACUGUCUCCUUUUUCUAAUCAGUGAAACUAAUCUCCCCGUGAAGAAGCGGGGAUUACCAUAUAAGACGAGAAGACCCUAUGGAGCUUAAAACAAAUUAACACCUGCUUCCAUCUAUCUUUAUUCCUGAGCUAACACAUAAAAUACAGCAUUAUUGAUUAAUAGUUUUCGAUUGGGGUGAUCAUGGAGUAAAAAUCAACCUCCACGACGAAAAGGCCACUUCCCUGAGCUAAAAGCUACAACUUUAAGCACUAAAAAAUUAACGCACUUUGACCCAAAUUUUUGAGCAACGAAC